This is a long non-coding RNA of Pseudophryne corroboree (corroboree frog), 2613 nucleotides long. RefSeq lists it as uncharacterized. The transcript has 4 exons. The record is from RefSeq and is a predicted model, not a curated record. NCBI's taxonomy places the organism in Eukaryota, Metazoa, Chordata, Amphibia, Anura, Myobatrachidae.
GCUACACGGACCAGGCGGCUGCAGUGCUGUACUGAGGGAGACAGUGGCUUAGAAUACUGACAAAUGUGAUCACAACGUAUCUGUGAGAUACACAGGACCACAGCAGUCAGCUGACUCACCCCACAAAGGUCAAAGAACUACCGAAUGUUGCCACGCAUGAGAAUACUGACAAAUGUGAUCACAACGUAUCUGUGAGGUACACAGGACCACAGCAGUCAGCUGACUCACCCCACAAAGGUCAAAGAACUACCGAAUGUUGCCACGCAUGAGAUAACUAUUACUGCACUUCGGCCCAGAGUCAGACGCAGUGUCGAUGCUGCACACAGUUGGCUGAUGCUUUUAGUCUGCCAGCGCUAACCACGAUGACGCAAUCGCACUGACACACCUCCACCUCCACCUUCCUUGCUGCGUCAAACACCCACCCAUCCCCCCCUUUGCCGAGUCAUGCCCCCGUACCUCCCACAGCUGUAACAACCUGAGGGGGCAGCCAGAAAGUCAGUAACUUUGAUCUUGGAGACCAUUUAUCAACGAGUGAUAAAACUCAUUGUGAAGGAUAAAACUCGUUGCGUAUGAUAAAUGGUGUUUUUUCAAACACAUGACAGUUGGGAGCUGAUUGGCUGGAAAACCAUUUAUCAUACGCAAGCAGUUUUGUCGUUCACAACGAGGUUUAUCACUCGUUGAUAAAUGGGCCCCAGUUAAUUUCAGCCAUAACAUGCCGGCCUUCCCUGCAGCCUUGUGAAUUCUGAUCAUGAUGGCACCAACUUUGUACCAUGAAGCCUGAUGGAUUGAUCUGUGCAUACACUGUGUCACUGUGAGCCAUGCUGCCCCUGCGCUGUAGUGUCACCUGGAUUACAGGGGAGGGGUCUCUGUACUGCUGGAACGCUGGGUGCUAUAGGCUACUGGGAAAUUUAGGGCUAAUGGUGCGACAAAAUAAUAAAAUAAAUCCCAAGAUGUUACAAACCCAUUUUAGUAGAUUAAUCUCUGUCACCAUUCACUGCACAAAACAUAAUAAUUAUUUCCCGUUCGAGCACAGAACUUCUGACCUAAACAUUUACUCUAUCCGAGCAGGGCCGUCAAGAACUCCAAUGGGGCCCAAUACUGGGGAUAGAAGUAGAGAAGACCAUUGACCAUCGAUGGUUUGCUGUUGAUGGUCUAUGGUUUUACCAUUGAUGGGUUCAAGGCUGCACAUCGAUGGCAGGGUAUGCAAAUGCUCGGCCACAGUCUUGAGCAACCAUAAGUGGUUUCCCACAACAGUUAAAAACCAUUGACCAUCAAGGUUUACUGGAAUGUAACAAAAUCUCAUCCAGGGACAGAGGCUCCAAUAGAAGCUUGUGCCAUGGGUACAAGUGAUCACAGGGGCAGAUUGGCCAUGCGGAUCACCAGGAAGAUUCCUGGUAGGCUGGUGUGUCUGUCGGGCCUGUUUUGUGUGUUGUCAUGUGACCCCACCACCCACAUGACAGGCAGCCCAUCACACUCAGUAUACUACAUUGUCUCCAUACAUUCUGUUAUUCCAUCUCUGCACUACAGCGACUCUGCCAUCCAGUGAUGCUGCCAUGGCUACAUAGUAUGUUAUACCUCUUGUGCUGCCCUAGGGGGGUAAUUCAGACCUGAUCGCUGGGCAGCAUUUUUUGCACUGCUGCGAUUGGAUAGUCGCCGCCUAUGGGGAGAGUGUAUUUUAGCUGUGCAAGUGUGCGAUCGCAUGUGUAGCAGAGCUCUACAAACAGAUUUUGUGCAGUCUCUGCGCAGCCCAGGACUUACUCAGCCGCUGCGAUCACAUCGGGCUGUCCGGGUCCGGAAUUGACGUCAGACACCCGCCCUGCAAAUGCUUGGACACGCCUGAGUUUUUCCAGGAAGGCUUCAACUGCGUCCAAUCUGGCACUAUUAGGAAAGAUCCUGCCCCCCUCAACAGACCCCACUCCCUCAUCAGACCACGUCCCCAUUAGGGCUGCUUCUAUAAACACCCCAGGCUGGUUUUCCAUCCCGAUACGCCCCUGAUUACCAGUCCUAUUGAUCUCUCUCUAGUGUUGGUGAUCUAUACCCCAUAGGCUACAAGGCUAACGUCAUCUCCAGAUGGCAUCACAUACUAGGGCCAAUCUCUGGAAUGUGCUUGGUAAAUUGACAUUUUAACAGCCUCCACGGACGUCCCCCUAUGGUGCCUGCUUUUGUGAUUUAAAAUAUGGGAUCCAAGCAGUGUACCCCGUUAAUACAUCUGGGUAAUACUGUACUACAGAUAUGUUGGUACCCCCUAAAAAUACAGGCAAUAUUCUAUGAUAAAUAAGCCCCCCAGGACAUAUAACCAGUGUUGCUUUACAUGGUGUCGCCUGGUGACUGCGCAGUGGAACCCUGGACCACCUUCGAAGAAGAAGGAGCACAACUCCAGGAACCGGCGCCAUUUGAAGGUGAUUCCCGCAAGCAAACUCUGAAAACGGUUGUUUCUGCGUGUCUAAGUGAUGAUGAAUAGGCCCCUAAGAGAGGAAUCAAUAUGGAUUAUUAACCUUUCAACAUAUACACCAUCAGAUGUUUAUACCAAAUACUACAGUAUAUUUAUGCUACGUAUUCCUUACUUAAUUUGUUAAAAAUCAAUCCAGGAUCCAAAACACUCCUUAUAUAUAA